Molecule: ribosomal RNA, 431 nt
Filed under: uncultured bacterium
Lineage: Bacteria
Description: partial 16S ribosomal RNA
Rfam family: Bacterial small subunit ribosomal RNA
Source: RNAcentral
AACGAACGCUGGCGGCAGGCCUAACACAUGCAAGUCGAGCGCCCUUUCGGGGGAGCGGCGGACGGGUGAGUAACGCGUGGGAAUAUGCCCUUCUCUACGGAAUAGCCUCGGGAAACUGAGAGUAAUACCGUAUACGCCCUAUGGGGGAAAGAUUUAUCGGGGAAGGAUUAGCCCGCGUUGGAUUAGGUAGUUGGUGGGGUAAUGGCCUACCAAGCCGACGAUCCAUAGCUGGUUUGAGAGGAUGAUCAGCCACACUGGGACUGAGACACGGCCCAGACUCCUACGGGAGGCAGCAGUGGGGAAUCGUAGACAAUGGGGGCAACCCUGAUCGAGCCAGGACGCGUGAGUGAUGAAGGCAGUAGGGUUGUAAAGCUCUUUCAGCUGGGAAGAUAAUGACGGUACCAGAAGAAGAAGCCCCGGCUAACUCCGUG